This 253-nucleotide ribosomal RNA is filed under the name uncultured bacterium. Its description in RNAcentral is "partial 16S ribosomal RNA". It matches the Rfam family "Bacterial small subunit ribosomal RNA", at positions 524 to 776 of the family's 1533-position model. The record is from RNAcentral.
UACGUAGGGGCCGAGCGUUGUCCGGAGUUAUUGGGCGUAAAGGAUGUGUAGGUGGUUGUAUUAGUCUGGUGUCUAACCUCUGAGCUCAACUUGGAGACAGCAUUGGAAACGGUACGACUAGAGUAUGUUAGGGGUAAGCGGAACUAAUAGUGUAGGGGUGAAAUCCGUUGAUAUUAUUGGGAACACCAAAAGCGAAGGCAGCUUACUGGAACAUUACUGACACUGAAACAUGAAAGCGUGGGUAGCGAAUGGG